This 142-nucleotide microRNA precursor is filed under the name Corchorus capsularis. RNAcentral describes it as "pre miRNA mir-399". It matches the Rfam family "mir-399 microRNA precursor family". From Rfam's summary of the family: mir-399 was identified in both Arabidopsis thaliana and Oryza sativa computationally and was later experimentally verified. mir-399 is thought to target mRNAs coding for a phosphatase transporter. The mature sequence is excised from the 3' arm of the hairpin. The record is from Rfam by way of RNAcentral. Lineage: Eukaryota; Viridiplantae; Streptophyta; Magnoliopsida; Malvales; Malvaceae.
GCAACAAUUACAGGGCAACAUCUCCAUUGGCAGGCAGCCACUAAUUAGCACAUAUAUAUGCAUGGAUAUUCAAAAAUUCAUGCAUUAUAUUAACAUAUACAGUGUGCCCUCUGCCAAAGGAGAUUUGCCCGGCAAUUCUUUU